GCAUGACCUCUGCUAAAAAAAGUAGGAUGAAUCCUAAGGAAGUUAAUAGCUGAAGGCUGCAGCUACUAGAUUCCAGAGAGUGGCCUGGGGCACAAGAUACUCAACCAGAGCAGACAGUGUCAGCCUCUGUCAUGGAAAGCACAGAGCUUCCUAUCCUACAUGAUUGUCUAUUGUAAUGCCAAAUUACAAGCAAUGGAGUCUCACUGUGUUGCCCAGGCUGGAGUGCUGUGGCAUGAUCUCAGCUCACUGCCAUCUCUGCCUCUUGAGUUCAAGCGAUUCUCCUGCCUCAGCUUCCCAAGUAGCUGGGAUUACAGGCGCACGCCACCACGCCCCGCUAGUUUUUGUAUUUUCAGUAGAGACGGGGUUUCACCAUGUUGGCCAGACUGGUCUGUAACUCCAGACUUCAGGUGAUCUGCCCACCUUGGCCUCCCAAAGUGCUGGGAUUACAGGCCUGAGCCACCAUGCCCAGCCAAUUUCCAUAUAUUUUUUAUACUGGGAUUUCAGAGAGUAAUUUCCUCUUCAUGUGUAACCAGUUAUGUGAAUUAAAACAGAUUCAGCCUUCUUUUACGGUUGUG
This 575-nucleotide long non-coding RNA is filed under the name Homo sapiens (human). RNAcentral describes it as "novel transcript". The record is from RNAcentral. Lineage: Eukaryota; Metazoa; Chordata; Mammalia; Primates; Hominidae.